RNAcentral lists this transfer RNA (70 nucleotides) under Coloconger cadenati (congro). RNAcentral's name for it is "tRNA-His". It matches the Rfam family "tRNA". From Rfam's summary of the family: Transfer RNA (tRNA) molecules are approximately 80 nucleotides in length. Their secondary structure includes four short double-helical elements and three loops (D, anti-codon, and T loops). RNAcentral also lists the same sequence under 1 other name. The record is from RNAcentral. Lineage: Eukaryota; Metazoa; Chordata; Actinopteri; Anguilliformes; Colocongridae.
GUCGACAUAGUUUAAUCAAGAACGUUAGAUUGUGAUUCUAGAAAUAGGGGAUAAAAUCCCCUUGUUGACC